CCGCAUUUGAAACUGGCAGGCUAGAGUCUUGUAGAGGGGGGUAGAAUUUCAGGUGUAGCGGUGAAAUGCGUAGAGAUCUGAAGGAAUACCAGUGGCGAAGGCGGCCCCCUGGACAAAGACUGACGCUCAGAUGCGAAAGCGUGGGUAGCAAACAGGAUUAGAUACCCUGGUAGUCCACGCCGUAAACGCUGUCUACUUGGAGGUUGAGGUUUAAGACUUUGGCUUUCGGCGCUAACGCAUUAAGUAGACCGCCUGGGGAGUACGGCCGCAAGGUUAAAACUCAAAUGAAUUGACGGGGGCCCGCACAAGCGGUGGAGCAUGUGGUUUAAUUCGAUGCAACGCGAAGAACCUUACCUACUCUUGACAUCCAGAGAACUUUCCAGAGAUGGAUUGGUGCCUUCGGGAACUCUGAGACAGGUGCUGCAUGGCUGUCGUCAGCUCGUGUUGUGAAAUGUUGGGUUAAGUCCCGCAACGAGCGCAACCCUUAUCCUUGUUUGCCAGCACGUAAUGGUGGGAACUCCAGGGAGACUGCCGGUGAUAAACCGGAGGAAGGUGGGGACGACGUCAAGUCAUCAUGGCCCUUACGAGUAGGGCUACACACGUGCUACAAUGGCAGAUACAGAGGGCAGCGAAGCUGCGAAGUGGAGCGAAUCCCUUAAAGUUUGUCGUAGUCCGGAUUGGAGUCUGCAACUCG
This 694-nucleotide ribosomal RNA is filed under the name uncultured Salinivibrio sp. RNAcentral's name for it is "bacterial SSU rRNA". It matches the Rfam family "Bacterial small subunit ribosomal RNA", at positions 621 to 1314 of the family's 1533-position model. The record is from RNAcentral. Lineage: Bacteria; Pseudomonadati; Pseudomonadota; Gammaproteobacteria; Vibrionales; Vibrionaceae.